GACUUUAGCUGGGAUAUCAGUGUGCACACUCAGACUGGAACUUACACCGUCAGCCCUCCUGGUACUCCUGCCUUUGGGACUUUGAAACUUGUAUCUCUGGCUCUUCUGGGUCUUAGGCCUUUAGACUGCAGGUCUGGGGGCUUCUGAGACUUCAAACUCAUGUAAGCCACAUAAACUAAGGGGUGUGUGUGUGUGUGUGUGUGUGUGUGUUUUCUCUGGAGGACCCUAACUACUACAAAAAAAAUAAGGCAUUCUCUCAUUCAAUAUAGGUCACUACUAAUUUCCUAGGUGAUAUGGUUUGAAUAAGUGUCCACCAUGGACCUAUGUGUUAAAUGCUUAACCCCCAGCCUGUGAUGUUAUUGGGAAAUGGAGGAACCGUCAGGAGGUGGGACCUAGUGGGAGGAGUUGGGUCACUGAGGCUCUGUCCUUGGAGGGGAUAUUGGAACCUGGCCCCUCUUCUUCGUCUCUUUUUGCUCUUCCCCAUUGCCAUGAGGUGAGAAACUUCCUCUGCCAUUCACCACUGUCAUGAUGUACCACCUCAUCACAGGUCCAAAGGCAACAAGCCAGCCAUGGCAUGAAACCUACAAAAUUGUGAACCAAAAUUAACUUUCCUCGUUUCAGUUGAUUGCCUCAACUAUUGUGUUACACUAACGAAAAGCUGGGUAACCAAUAGGGAUGUACACUCUGGCAGGAGUCUACUAUAAAUGAUCUCUUAUUAACCACCUAGAAGAAAAGUCUUGAACUUGAAUUUCAGCUUCACAAUGUAUAAGAUGGGGAAAAAAAAAAAAAAACUCUUAGAUUCUCUGGGCCUCAGUCAUCUGGUCGGGAAAAUGGAGAAAAUAGUGUAUGGAUUAUGGUGGCUAUUAGAAAUUUAAUGUGCAAAGUUCCCAAGCACACCAGAGAAUCACUGACAGGUACCAUGAUUCAGUAGGUUUCAUUCUUAUUAUGCAUGUUCCGAUAUGCUAAAACUCUUAAAAUGAAAUGUAUUAUAAAUAACCUUUGGAUUAUCUUUAAGUAAUUCUUUAUGGUUUGGAAGGGGAAAAUCCAUAGAUACAUAAAAUACCCAGGAUGUCAACUAUACAGUAUAAUCAUUUUGUAUGAUUGCUGCUGAUACAGUUCAAUCUAAAUUGCAGUCUCAUAUUUGACAUAAUUAUACAUAACCAAACACUAAUAAAAAUUGCUGCCUUAUAUUUCAAAUUGGUAAUUAUGGUAGUAAACAUUAACAACAUGUCAGAUAUAAGAUGGUGAUUUGUUCUGAAAUGUAUUAGAAAUCAUUAUACUGUAUGAUAAUUUUAAUUACAGUUUGGUAGCAAGAGAGCACGCAGCGGUCUAUGGCUCCAAGUGCAUGAUGGGAACUGGCAGCUCUUCAGCCAUAGCUCUGACUGCUGUUAUUUGAGCUGAAGAAAUGGGCUACUCUUUCUCUGCCUUGAAGUAGUGAACUCAGUCUCCUCUGCAGAAAUGUAUGGUAUGAGAUUUGAAGUCAUUCUUCCAGGAUUUAAAUUCUUUCUCUUCAUGUCUUGCCAGAAGACCUUGGCUAAUGGUCAUUUCUUGGUGCCUCAGUUUUCUGUCCUUUAAAAUAGGUAAUAUAGUAAUGCCUACCUCAGAGGGUUAUAUGACAACUCAGGUGACCCGUGCUGUGCGUGAGGCUCAGUCAGCGUCACCAGCAUGCCAAGUCAUCAGUAUGCACCAUGGUGGUGGUUAUCAUUUUCUAUUAAUACAUCAUUUUCCCAAAUUUCCCAGGUUCUGGUCUUGGUAAUCAUGAUCUAACGUCCUAUUUAAUGUACGAAUGUGCUGGAUGCUAGCUUCUAUCUCUCAGGUCACUCUGUAUCCUUUAAAAUUUAAUCUUUCUCUUUUCUUCUCUCCUUCUAAGUUAUCUCCAUUCCUUUCCCUUGCUCAGUAUUGUGAGCCACGCUCUGCUCUGUCAGCUCUUGGGAAUGCCACCUGGCUUUGGCUCAUCUCCUCUUGACUCUGCCGGCUCCUGCCAUGGCCUUUGAGCGUGUUGCCAGGAUGUACCCUGUGCCCCAUCCAUCACACUGGAGAAGACCUGAGGAGGCUCCAUUGCCCAGCAGGUGAGUACAAGGAGCCAGGAAAUCCCCACCUCCGUCCACAGGACAUUUGACUCACCUGACCAGUAGGCCAUAAUUCAAAGAUUUAAUUCCCCACCCCCCCAAACACACACACACCCCUUGUGAAAUUUGUUAUUCUAACGUAAGAACCAUUCUGCUCAUUCAGUUGCCCGUUUCCAUCUCUUUUUAAAGAUCUCUGGGCCUCGCAACAUCUUUAUAUGACUCUCCCAGCUCCAAGAUCUUCAUGCACAGUAGGCAGGACUCCCAACACCAUGAUAAAGCACCUUUCCUGUCUACAUUUCCAUUCCGUUUCAGGUAAAAUAUUCAAGGGAACAGACCGGACUGCUAAUUAGAGAACUGUCUGGAACCACCAUGAACCGCAUUUCCAUCGGUGCAAUAAGCAAAGACUCUUCAUUAAAAUCACUGUCCUCUGUCAGGGAAAGCUGUUUCAAGUGCAAUAGAUCUAAUUCACAGGAGUGAUCAUGCAGACCCAGGUAGAGUAUUCAUUAUUAACUUAAAAAGUAUGCCAAAUCAAUUAAAAACCAUUUUAAAGGGAAGGGAUAAAAUUUAGUUCUACCUAACUGCAGCUCUGCUCUGAUUUAUCUUCCAGCCACUUUCAAGGGAUUUUACUUGGUUCUUAAUCUAACAUUCAUUGGAAAGGGUAAUUCUCAUGAAAUUACAAUGGCAUCUCUUGCAUCGUUUAAUGCAAAUGUUCCCAUUCUUCAGGAAUAGAGAGCGGCUUCUCCAAUAAAGACUCCCUUCAAAGUGCAGAGUGGAAGAGCCCUGGGAGCCGCUGGUGCAGAAUAAAGCAUGGCAUCUCAGAAGCUGCUCGAAUUUAGAACUCUGCCCGCAUCCUUGUGACAAAUUGUAUUCCAAAUAUAGGUUAUUCACAACAUGUUUGUUAUAAGGCGAGGCCUAUGAAUUCCCGCCGUGUCUUUCUUUACAAACAUGUCAAGACUUGUGAACCCCUUAAUGAAAUGCAGCCUUUUAGAGGCAAGAGAAAGCCACAAAGAUUCCAGGAAGAAAAGACUCUCUUUCCUGGGACUGGGACCUUCUUGUGCUAGUGAUAGCAGCCCUAAGCAGAGGUACUGUGUCAUCUCCGAGGUCCCUGAGACCAGCCACUUCAGUUUUCAGAGGGAAAGACUAGCAUCUGAGAAAGAAUGAGAUUUUUCCAAAGUGUCAGAGGCAAAACAAGCAGGGCCGGGGCUCACCUGCCCAGCCCAGGACACCCUGCCACUGUACUGAGUGUCUCACGGAAUUCUAAAACACCGUCGGUCCUGAUUGGGGCACUUUUAUAAAGUCCCAUGGGGUACCAAUCUUCCGUUGUUCAGAUAAAGUGCCAUAAAACUUGGAAGUGAGCUUACCCCAGUAGGAUAUUUCCCGUCAUGCUACGGAAGUUAGCUGUAUUGAUUUCCCUUUGGGCAUCUUUUUUAGCCAAGACCCAAGGGUACUAUCCUUUUCAUUAGUUAAUUCAUAUUUUGCCUUUUGGGUAAAGAGCCACUAUACACUAGUCAGCAGAAGUCCCAAGCUCAGGAUAUAUCUUUUUCCUACCAAGACCAACUGGGGGCUUUCCAAUGUGGCUAGACCCAGCAGUCUACCCAGUUCUAACUUUGUUUUUGUUUGUUUGUUUGGGUGCUGGGGAAUGAAUCCAGGGCCUCAUGCAUGUCAGGCAAGCACUCUACCACCUGAGCUACAUCCUCAGCCCUCCCAGUUCUAGUUUAAGGCAGAGGCCAGCCAAUGUUUCCUAUAAGGGCCAGAUAGUAAGUGACUUAUGUUCUGCGGACCACUUGGUCACCAGUGUAAUUAUACCACGACCUGCCGAAGAAGCCAUAGACAAUACGGAAGCAAAUGAGUGUGACUGUGUCCCAAUAAAACUUUAUUU
Molecule: long non-coding RNA, 3948 nt
Filed under: Marmota monax (woodchuck)
Lineage: Eukaryota; Metazoa; Chordata; Mammalia; Rodentia; Sciuridae
Source: RNAcentral